RNAcentral lists this ribosomal RNA (261 nucleotides) under uncultured bacterium. Its description in RNAcentral is "partial 16S ribosomal RNA". It matches the Rfam family "Bacterial small subunit ribosomal RNA", at positions 520 to 777 of the family's 1533-position model. The record is from RNAcentral.
GUAACGUAGGGACCAAGCGUUGUUCGGAUUUACUGGGCGUAAAGGGCGCGUAGGCGGCUUAACAAGUCACUUGAUGAAAUCUCCGGGCUUAACUCGGAACGGCCAAGUGAAACUGUCAAGCUAGAGUGCAGAAGGGGCAAUCGGAAUUCUUGGUGGUAGCGGUGAAAUGACGUAGAUAUCAAGAGGAACACCUGAGGUGAAGACGGGUUGCUGGGCUGACACUGACGCUGAGGCGCGAAAAGCCAGGGGGAGCAAAACGGG